CCUUGACACAAACUCCUCACAGCCAUUAAAGAGGAAUUUCACAGGAUUGCAGGUAGGUGUAUUUAAUUCGUUUAAUUUAGGCUAAUCUGAGAAAUGAUGAUCAGGUAAUAAUAUCUUGCUGUGACCUGAAAUAAACUAAUGAAUGUGCAGGUACACUGACUACUCUUUCUGAAGGUCACUGAAACUGACGUAUCAUUGUUUACACCACCAAGAUCAUAUGUGAUGCUGCACAUAUUAUCACAAACGUGGAGGCCAAGUUGGACUCUGGUCAUGAGUCAUGAAUAUAUAUUGAUUUAACCCUAAGUAACAGGCUGCACUGUGGAGAGAUUGACGGCUUUCUGCUGGAGACAGGGGUUAAUGCCAGCCCACACUACUGACCCCUCACCCAGAACCUGAAGCAGGCCCCCAGCAGCGCUUUAAUGCGGCCCUGCAGAACAAGAGACCGGGAGGAAAUGACCCUAGGCCUGUUGAAAGCACUUCUUCAGUGCCUACGUCACCUCAGGGUAACAUCUGAGAGGCCUGUGACAUUAAUGUGGCAUGUGUUGUUCUCCACAAUAUUGCAAUUAUUAAAGGGGAGCAACACCCUGCCCUACAAAUACAAGACCCUGAGGAAGACUCCUUCCAUUACAGUAAUCUGCAGAAUGGAUGGACAGUCAGAUGUGAUUUGCCAUAAUAUCUUAAUCAGCCAUCACCACCACCAAUAAAAGAAACUGAAUAAAUGCCAAUUAUAAUUUA
Molecule: long non-coding RNA, 735 nt
Organism: Betta splendens (Siamese fighting fish)
Lineage: Eukaryota; Metazoa; Chordata; Actinopteri; Anabantiformes; Osphronemidae
Exons: 2
Source: RefSeq, a predicted model, not a curated record